Small nucleolar RNA from Erpetoichthys calabaricus (reedfish), 130 nucleotides. NCBI's taxonomy places the organism in Eukaryota, Metazoa, Chordata, Cladistia, Polypteriformes, Polypteridae. The record is from Ensembl.
CUGCACAUUACAUUGUCUCAUUCUCUGUUUGUGAGAGUGUAGAUAUUUCUGAUGUGCCACAUAAUCCUUGGAGGUUAAUUAGCAGUGAAAGCUGUAUGGUGCGUUUACUGCCAGUCUCCUUCGUACAGUU